AAAAAUAAUUUGAUGUUUGCAGAUUGACGCUACCUUUGAUGUUUGGGUUCUGCCUUCUAACAAAGACAGUGAAGUUGAGCUACCGGAAAUUGGUGGAAGUGAUCAAGCAAGCUCCUAUUUGUCUUGCUUUUUGCAAAAAAAAUGAAGGGAGAUUUACGUGAUAUAUGUAAAACCAGGAUCAGAAGCUGAUCUCGAUUCAGUAGUGCAGGAUACAAUAAGGUUAAUAGCCUCAACAAAGGACACAUGCUCGGAGUCAUGUGAGAAAUCAGCAAUUACAUGGCAAUGCGCUGACCAGACGAGGA
This is a long non-coding RNA of Phalaenopsis equestris, 302 nucleotides long. RefSeq lists it as uncharacterized. The record is from RefSeq and is a predicted model, not a curated record. The transcript is spliced from 4 exons. NCBI's taxonomy places the organism in Eukaryota, Viridiplantae, Streptophyta, Magnoliopsida, Asparagales, Orchidaceae.